AUAUCAGUGGAGCACUUCACAGAAACGAGUCGUGUCAAGAAUUUAGCGUUCAUUACAAGAGAUUUAUAUACGAGAUGGCAGUACACAAAAUUGCUUUAGCUGUUGUAAUAUUCUGCGCAGCUGUCGAAGCACAGAGACCAUUUUACGCUGGACUGAGAGCGAUUGGAUACCCUUCAGUGGAAUCUAAUGCCCUAACAAACCGUUUCUCUGAAAACGAAUAUGCUCCUAUUGAAGCUAGAGGAGACCGAGAUUUUAUACAAAGAUUAAACGCAAUGCCUAUCGAUAACCAACCUUUUUGGUAUCUGAAUUGGAGGCAAUACGAGGCUAUGAGGAAUAACCCACAAACCUAUCCCAUUAGGCCUAGCCCAUUUGCACUCAACAAUUUUUGAGGAAGAAAAGAAAAACAUCAUUUAGCGAUCGUUGCCAAAGAUUCGUUUAUAAAUUGUUUUAAGCGAGUGAAAGUGCAUUUCUAGUGUAAAUUAAGUUAAUUUAAAAGGAAGAUCCAGUUUCUUUUUAAGUUUUUCAUUUGGUGCCAUAAUGUUAACUUUAAUUUUAUCUAGCAUAUUGUUAGCAAUGUAACUGUAAAAUUUUGGGAAUCCUAUAUGCUGACUGAUAAAUGUCAAGAUACUAUGUUGUUCUCAAUAAAUACUAAAUUAUAAACUAA
Molecule: long non-coding RNA, 664 nt
Organism: Vanessa atalanta (red admiral)
Lineage: Eukaryota; Metazoa; Arthropoda; Insecta; Lepidoptera; Nymphalidae
Exons: 2
Source: RefSeq, a predicted model, not a curated record